Non-coding RNA from Triticum urartu, 871 nucleotides. The record is from RefSeq and is a predicted model, not a curated record. NCBI's taxonomy places the organism in Eukaryota, Viridiplantae, Streptophyta, Magnoliopsida, Poales, Poaceae.
UUCCUAUUUGCCGCUAGUUGCGGCAAAGUGCCGGCGUUUCGCACAGGGAGCCGCUAACCUGGGCCGGCCCAUGCUGUCUUAGGGGAUCUACAAUUCAUCAUCAACCAGAUCAGAGUUUUCCUAAAAUAUAAAAGGGACUUCCUAUUUGCCGCUAGUUGCGGCAAAGUGCCGGCGUUUCGCACAGGGAGCCGCUAACCUGGGCCGGCCCAUGCUGUCUUAGGGGAUCUACAAUUCAUCAUCAACCAGAUCAGAGUUUUCCUAAAAUAUAAAAGGGACUUCCUAUUUGCCGCUAGUUGCGGCAAAGUGCCGGCGUUUCGCACAGGGAGCCGCUAACCUGGGCCGGCCCAUGCUGUCUUAGGGGUCUACAAUUCAUCAUCAACCAGAUCAGAGUUUUCCUAAAAUAUAAAAGGGACUUCCUAUUUGCCGCUAGUUGCGGCAAAGUGCCGGCGUUUCGCACAGGGAGCCGCUAACCUGGGCCGGCCCAUGCUGUCUUAGGGGAUCUACAAUUCAUCAUCAACCAGAUCAGAGUUUUCCUAAAAUAUAAAAGGGACUUCCUAUUUGCCGCUAGUUGCGGCAAAGUGCCGGCGUUUCGCACAGGGAGCCGCUAACCUGGGCCGGCCCAUGCUGUCUUAGGGGUCUACAAUUCAUCAUCAACCAGAUCAGAGUUUUCCUAAAAUAUAAAAGCUAUGUAACGACUCUACUGUACACAUAACUUUUAAUUUCAAGAAUCCUAGUUGCGUCACUGUUUCAUAAUGGCCAAAUGAUUUAGUUGCUACAAGUUGUCGAAUCUUUAUUUUUUGUUCAAUUGUACAACUUUAUUUUCUUGUCAGACUAUGUCUUGCUUAACCUUUUUUUACCAUUCAUGUUGAUA